RNAcentral lists this ribosomal RNA (450 nucleotides) under uncultured prokaryote. RNAcentral's name for it is "bacterial SSU rRNA". It matches the Rfam family "Bacterial small subunit ribosomal RNA", at positions 355 to 796 of the family's 1533-position model. The record is from RNAcentral.
UGGGGAAUAUUGGACAAUGGGGAGAACCCUGAUCCAGCGAUGCCGCGUGUGUGAAGAAGGCCCGAGGGUUGUAAAGCACUUUUAGUGGGGAGGAGAGGUAUUCGGUUAAGAGCUAGAUACUGAGACGUUACCCACCAUAAAAAGCACCGGCUAACUCCGUGCCAGCAGCCGCGGUAAUACGGGGGGUGCGAGCGUUAAUCGGAGUUAUUGGGCGUAAAGGGUGCGUAGGUUGUUUAUUAAGUUAUGUGGGAAAUACCUGGGCUUAACCUGGGAGUGACGGAUAAUACUGGUAAACUUGAGUAUAGUAGAGGGUAGUGGAAUUUCCGGUGUAGCGGUGAAAUGCGUAGAGAUCGGAAGGAACACCAGUGGCGAAGGCGUCUACCUGGACUAAUACUGACACUGAGGCACGAAAGCGUGGGUAGCAAACAGGAUUAGAUACCCCCGUAGUCC